Molecule: transfer RNA, 67 nt
Filed under: Acrossus rufipes
Lineage: Eukaryota; Metazoa; Arthropoda; Insecta; Coleoptera; Scarabaeidae
Description: Aphodius rufipes tRNA-Ser
Source: RNAcentral
GAAAUAAGUAAAUCAGAGAUAAGCUUCUAACUUCUUCUCUUAGCAGUGUAAUUCUGUUAGUAUUUCU